Molecule: ribosomal RNA, 462 nt
Filed under: uncultured Proteiniphilum sp.
Lineage: Bacteria; Pseudomonadati; Bacteroidota; Bacteroidia; Bacteroidales; Dysgonomonadaceae
Description: bacterial SSU rRNA
Rfam family: Bacterial small subunit ribosomal RNA
Source: RNAcentral
CCCGCACAAGCGGAGGAACAUGUGGUUUAAUUCGAUGAUACGCGAGGAACCUUACCCGGGCUUGAAAUGCAUCUGACCGGCCUUGAAAGAGGCAAUCCCUUCGGGGCAGAUGUGUAGGUGCUGCAUGGUUGUCGUCAGCUCGUGCCGUGAGGUGUCGGCUUAAGUGCCAUAACGAGCGCAACCCUCAUCAUUAGUUACCAUCAGGUCAAGCUGGGGACUCUAAUGAGACUGCCAUCGUAAGAUGCGAGGAAGGUGGGGAUGACGUCAAAUCAGCACGGCCCUUACGUCCGGGGCGACACACGUGUUACAAUGGGUGGUACAAAGGGCAGCUACCUGGCGACAGGAUGCUAAUCUCCAAAACCGCUCUCAGUUCGGAUCGGAGUCUGCAACUCGACUCCGUGAAGCUGGAUUCGCUAGUAAUCGCGCAUCAGCCACGGCGCGGUGAAUACGUUCCCGGGCCUU